This 465-nucleotide ribosomal RNA is filed under the name Vreelandella stevensii. RNAcentral describes it as "partial 16S ribosomal RNA". It matches the Rfam family "Bacterial small subunit ribosomal RNA", at positions 338 to 795 of the family's 1533-position model. Lineage: Bacteria; Pseudomonadati; Pseudomonadota; Gammaproteobacteria; Oceanospirillales; Halomonadaceae. The record is from RNAcentral.
CCUACGGGUGGCUGCAGUGGGGAAUAUUGGACAAUGGGCGAAAGCCUGAUCCAGCCAUGCCGCGUGUGUGAAGAAGGCCUUCGGGUUGUAAAGCACUUUCAGUGGGGAAGAAAGCCUUGGGGCUAAUACCCUCGAGGAAGGACAUCACCCACAGAAGAAGCACCGGCUAACUCCGUGCCAGCAGCCGCGGUAAUACGGAGGGUGCGAGCGUUAAUCGGAAUUACUGGGCGUAAAGCGCGCGUAGGCGGUCUGAUAAGCCGGUUGUGAAAGCCCCGGGCUCAACCUGGGAACGGCAUCCGGAACUGUCAGGCUAGAGUGCAGGAGAGGAAGGUAGAAUUCCCGGUGUAGCGGUGAAAUGUGUAGAGAUCGGGAGGAAUACCAGUGGCGAAGGCGGCCUUCUGGACUGACACUGACGCUGAGGUGCGAAAGCGUGGGUAGCAAACAGGAUUAGAUACCCUGGUAGUC